Molecule: ribosomal RNA, 545 nt
Filed under: uncultured bacterium
Lineage: Bacteria
Description: partial 16S ribosomal RNA
Rfam family: Bacterial small subunit ribosomal RNA
Source: RNAcentral
UGGGGAAUAUUGCACAAUGGGCGCAAGCCUGAUGCAGCAACGCCGCGUGAGGGAUGACGGCCUUCGGGUUGUAAACCUCUUUUAGCAGGGAAGAAGCGAAAGUGACGGUACCUGCAGAAAAAGCACCGGCUAACUACGUGCCAGCAGCCGCGGUAAUACGUAGGGUGCAAGCGUUGUCCGGAAUUAUUGGGCGUAAAGAGCUCGUAGGCGGUCUGUCGCGUCUGCUGUGAAAUCCCGAGGCUCAACCUCGGGCCUGCAGUGGGUACGGGCAGACUAGAGUGCGGUAGGGGAGAAUGGAACUCCUGGUGUAGCGGUGGAAUGCGCAGAUAUCAGGAAGAACACCGAUGGCGAAGGCAGUUCUCUGGGCCGUAACUGACGCUGAGGAGCGAAAGCGUGGGGAGCGAACAGGACUAGAUACCCUGGUAGUCCACGCCGUAAACGUUGGGCGCUAGAUGUGGGGACCAUUCCACGGUUUCCGUGUCGCAGCUAACGCAUUAAGCGCCCCGCCUUGGGGAGUACGGCCGCAAGGCUAAAACUCAAAGGAA